Molecule: ribosomal RNA, 292 nt
Filed under: uncultured bacterium
Lineage: Bacteria
Description: partial 16S ribosomal RNA
Rfam family: Bacterial small subunit ribosomal RNA
Source: RNAcentral
GUGUCAGCAGCCGCGGUAAGACGAGCCUCACAAACGUUAUUCGGAAUUACUGGGCUUAAAGGGUGCGUAGGCGGCGCGGAAAGUUGGGUGUGAAAUCCCUCGGCUCAACCGAGGAACUGCGCCCAAAACUACCGUGCUCGAGGAAGAUAGAGGUGAGCGGAACUCACGGUGGAGCGGUGAAAUGCGUUGAUAUCGUGAGGAACACCCGUGGCGAAAGCGGCUCACUGGGUCUUUUCUGACGCUGAUGCACGAAAGCUAGGGGAGCAAACGGGAUUAGAUACCCCCGUAGUCC